This 497-nucleotide ribosomal RNA is filed under the name uncultured bacterium. Its description in RNAcentral is "partial 16S ribosomal RNA". It matches the Rfam family "Bacterial small subunit ribosomal RNA", at positions 28 to 507 of the family's 1533-position model. The record is from RNAcentral.
GAUGAACGCUGGCGGCGUGCCUAAUACAUGCAAGUCGAGCGAACAGACGAGGAGCUUGCUCCUCUGACGUUAGCGGCGGACGGGUGAGUAACACGUGGAUAACCUACCUAUAAGACUGGGAUAACUUCGGGAAACCGGAGCUAAUACCGGAUAAUAUAUUGAACCGCAUGGUUCAAUAGUGAAAGACGGUUUUGCUGUUACUUAUAGAUGGAUCCGCGCCGCAUUAGCUAGUUGGUAAGGUAACGGCUUACCAAGGCGACGAUGCGUAGCCGACCUGAGAGGGUGAUCAGCCACACUGGAACUGAGACACGGUCCAGACUCCUACGGGAGGCAGCAGUAGGGAAUCUUCCGCAAUGGGCGAAAGCCUGACGGAGCAACACCGCGUGGGUGAUGAAGGUCUUCGGAUCGUAAAGCUCUGUUAUUAGGGAAGAACAAAUGUGUAAGUAACUAUGCACGUCUUGACGGUACCUAAUCAGAAAGCCACGGCUAACUUCGUG